Non-coding RNA from Python bivittatus (Burmese python), 1302 nucleotides. NCBI's taxonomy places the organism in Eukaryota, Metazoa, Chordata, Lepidosauria, Squamata, Pythonidae. The record is from RefSeq and is a predicted model, not a curated record.
AUUUUAAAGCACUUUUUAAAUGUGUUUUGACUACUGUGUGCAAAGGUAACUAAAAAAAGUUCCCAUUUGCUUUCAUUUCAGCCCAUUGUAAAACCAAACAUUCCUCCACCCCCGGUGCCCCCAGCCAAAUCAGCCAUACCUCCAGCCAUGAUGGAACCAAUAAAUUCAGCUCCUUCUUCUCACAUCAAGUGUAAGCCAGCUCCUCCACCUCCACCCCAGGCACUGAAACCCCCAAGUAAUCUCAGGGUGUGAAACCAAGAAAGAAUCGGAAAUAAUACUGAUUGUCUGAUUUCAAAACCCCUUUUCCAUCUUCUCGGCUCCCUUGUCUGCCAAGGAAAACCGAAUGGCUGAUGUCUUUCUUACAAGUCUAAUGCUUCCUCUGCAAUGGGGAAUGUCAUGUGAACUUUGGGGGCAUCGUCACCUGCAGUCCCGACUCUAAAGAUGGAAGCUGAUGGGUGUCUCUUCAACUCUCUUCCACUAUAUCUCCGUAUAUCCCACUGGGAGAUCCUGGUACAGGUGGGAUGAUUUGGUGAAUUGUGAACUGAGCCAGAAGAUGCAUGGAAGCACUGAUGCUUCCAUACGAGAUUUAAAGCCCAUCAUUGCCAACUGUGAACGAGAUCCAAAGUUAGAGAAAGCUUUUUGCUACUUAAUGCAAGUGGGAACAGAAACCGUCCUGCCUACUGAAUUAUUCAGUUUAUUCUGAUGGAGUAGAAAGUGACCAAGCCUUGUGUGAUACCCCCAAACCAUACAGAUAUUUGACAUUAGUGAAGGCUGAUCUCUUUGAGCCUUGUCUCUACCUGGGCAAACACAGAAGCAAGGAUGAGAUUCUGGAUGUCUAGUGCCUCAUUGCUUAUUGCUCAAGCACUUUUCACUAUAUAAUUGUUAAAAUUAUCUUUUAAGUGAGGCUGCUUCUGAAAUCCUCCACAUCUGAAUUUCUUUCUGCAUUUGUAACCUUUUGAAUGACCUGGCUUUUGGUCAUGAUACAACAAGGCCUGGAGAGGUAAGCCCUUGGCAUUAAAGCCAACUUUGCCUGAUGAGUGAAACAAGUGGGCAUUUCUGAAGUGGGUGGGACAUGGUUCUCUACUGCAUGUUCUCUGCAGCACAAAUGGCCCAGUUUGACAUGUGGGAAUCACCAUCAAAGGUACCUAAACUGCAAUGGUUGCAUCUGUGCCAAAUGUUUUUUUUUUUUUUUAUAAAGAUAUUGGAAUUGUACAAGGUUGCAAAGUCUUAAAAAAUUUCAACCAUCUCAACCUCAACGUUUUAUGUGUUCUUGUGUAAGAAGGCCAAAACCUUGCAUCUUCU